RNAcentral lists this ribosomal RNA (257 nucleotides) under uncultured prokaryote. Its description in RNAcentral is "partial 16S ribosomal RNA". It matches the Rfam family "Bacterial small subunit ribosomal RNA", at positions 524 to 780 of the family's 1533-position model. The record is from RNAcentral.
UACGGAGGAUGCGAGCGUUAUCCGGAUUUAUUGGGUUUAAAGGGUGCGUAGGCGGAUUGAUAAGUCAGUGGUGAAAUUCUACAGCUUAACUGUAGACUUGCCGUUGAUACUGUUAGUCUUGAGUGUGGUCAAGCAGGCGGAAUGUGUAAUGUAGCGGUGAAAUGCUUAGAUAUUACUCAGAACACCGAUUGCGAAGGCAGCUUACUAAUCCACAACUGACACUGAGGCACGAAAGCGUGGGGAGGCAAACAGGAUUA